RNAcentral lists this ribosomal RNA (246 nucleotides) under uncultured fungus. RNAcentral describes it as "partial small subunit ribosomal RNA". It matches the Rfam family "Eukaryotic small subunit ribosomal RNA", at positions 1319 to 1591 of the family's 1831-position model. Lineage: Eukaryota; Fungi. The record is from RNAcentral.
CUAAUUGCGAUAACGAACGAGACCUUAACCUGCUAAAUAGCCAGGCUAGCUUUGGCUGGUCGCCGGCUUCUUAGAGGGACUAUCGGCUCAAGCCGAUGGAAGUUUGAGGCAAUAACAGGUCUGUGAUGCCCUUAGAUGUUCUGGGCCGCACGCGCGCUACACUGACAGAGCCAACGAGUUUCUUCCUUGUCCGAAAGGUCUGGGUAAUCUUGUUAAACUCUGUCGUGGGGAUAGAGCAUUGCAAUC